AUCGGCUCUCUUUAAAAUGGACCAAUCAGCAGGACGUGGGUGGGGCCAGAUAAGAGAAUAAAAGCAGGCUGCCCAAGCCAGCAGUGGGAACCUGCUGAGGUUCCCUUUCAUGCUGUGGUAGCUUUGUUCUUUCACUCUUUGCAAUAAAUCUUGUUGUUGCUCACUCUUUGGGUCCACACUGCCUUUAUGAGCUGUAACACUCACUAUGAAGGUCUGCAGCUUCACCCCUGAAGCUAGCAAAACCGCGAACCCGCCGGGAGGAACGAACAACUCCCGACAUGUGGCCUUAAGAGCUGUAACACUCACUGCGAAGGUUUGCAGCUUCAUUCCUGAGCCAGCGAGACCGUGAACCCACCAGAAGAAAGAAACUCCGAACACAUCCAAACAUCAGAAGGAACAAACUCCAGACACGCUGGCUUUAAGAACUGUAACAUUCACUGAGAGGGUCUGCGGCUUCAUUCUUGAAAUCAUGUUCACUUCCACCUUCCACCCUUUCACUAUGAAGGACCCUCACCAGAUGGUGGCACCAUGCUCUCGGACUUCCCAGCCUCCAGAACUGGACGGGUAAAUUGAAGCAAAAAGCAGACAAGUUCUAUGGGAUUUGCUGGCAUUGAUUUCCCAGGAUGGCAAAGUGCUAAGAACUAAACCUUUAAAGCUAACAAAAUGUACUGAUGUCUUUGCAAAGUAUCCAAGACCAACAAGAAAGUAAUUUCCCACCUCACCCUACCACCACCCAGAAAAGGAGCACAGAGAUGGGGAAGAGAGUGGCUGCAUCUGGCAUCCAGCCAGAGGAGUCCGUGCAGGGAUUCUGGAUCCCUCUUCCCCCACCCCACUGCCCUUCCCCCUCCACCCCAGCGUUUUGGAGAAGCAAGAAACUGUGAUGAUGCAGCUCCCUCAAGUAUCACAUGAAGAUAGUGGAAAGAGCCUCCUGAGGUAAAUAUGCCAUGUAGACAGAAACAAGCAAUGGCUCAACAGCAAUGUAUGAGGUCCAAGGACCAGGACCAAAGGGAAAAACAGCCAUCUCACCAGACACCUGCCUACGACCAGAUGCGUCAUCUCCAAUAUUAGCUAACUCCCUGGAACCUGGACUCAAGGUGUGAAAUAAAGGUUAAUGGGAAACCGCAGGAGUCAAAAGGAGGGGGCAGGAUUAUUGAGGAUUCAGGCUGUUGAGAAAUGAAAGUUUGGAUCACUCCCCAGAUAAAGAACCUUGACCAUUUAAGGGCAAUGGAAAUACAGAAUAGGCAGUAGAAGAAGGAAGCCAUAGAUACCAACUAUGGCCUCUCAAUCAAUUACAAAACUGAGAAUUCUGACAGUUUUGUGUAUUUCCUCUUUGCAUGUGAUGUAUAUGUGUGUAUUUGUAUAUAUUAACCAUUUUCCUUUUUCUCUCUUCAUUAUUUUAUGAAAGUUGUUGAAUAUAAACUCUACAAUUUAGCCUUUAGGUAAGAGAAUAUUCAGUGGGACUUUGAUUUGAGGAGUAUUUAAGACAGCCAGAUGAGACUACGAUAACUGUUGGAACUGUGUGUCUCCUCAUUUGGGGAAAGGGGUGAGAACUCUGCAUUUCUCUGAAGAACAGAGUUGACUUUGUGUUAUACAGAGUUCAAAUAUAUAUAUAAAAUGGUGCAUGUGGAAGCUAAGAAGCCAAAGGAGUUCACCAAGACAGUUAUCAAUAUAUUGCCUCUCCGCUCCAAAUCCACCCUUCUUUGCCCUGUUCCACGAUACUAAUCUGGCUCCUCGGUCAGCCAGUGCAAUGUCAUCUGUUGCUGGUAGAGUGUAGGGGAGACACUACAAGGUAUAGUAAAGGGGUCAGAUGCGGUGUCUCAUGCCUGUAAUCACAGCCCUUUGGGAGGCAGAGGCAGGAGGAUCACCUGAGGCCAGGAGUUUGAGACCAGCCUGGACAACAUGGUAAAACCCCAUCUCUACUGAAAAUACAAAAUUAGCACGCACCUGUAAUCCCAGCUACUCGGGAGGCUGAGGCAGGAGAAUCACUUGAACCUGGGAGGUGGAGGUUGCAGUGAGCCAAGAUCGCAUCAUUGCACUCCAGCCAGGGAAAAAAGGCAAAACUCUGUCUCAAAAAAAUAAAUAAAUAAAAUAAAAUAAAACAAGGUAUAGCAAA
This 2113-nucleotide long non-coding RNA is filed under the name Homo sapiens (human). RNAcentral's name for it is "HSALNT0326830". The stretch from base 676 to 806 matches the Rfam family "Prostate androgen-regulated transcript 1 conserved region 3". The record is from RNAcentral. Lineage: Eukaryota; Metazoa; Chordata; Mammalia; Primates; Hominidae.